CGGGGAAUUUUGGACAAUGGGCGAAAGCCUGAUCCAGCAAUGCCGCGUGUGUGAAGAAGGCCUUCGGGUUGUAAAGCACUUUUGUCCGGAAAGAAAUCCUUGGCUCUAAUACAGUCGGGGGAUGACGGUACCGGAAGAAUAAGCACCGGCUAACUACGUGCCGGCAGCCGCGGUAAUACGUAGGGUGCAAGCGUUAAUCGGAAUUACUGGGCGUAAAGCGUGCGCAGGCGGUUUGCUAAGACCGAUGUGAAAUCCCCGGGCUCAACCUGGGAACUGCAUUGGUGACUGGCAGGCUAGAGUAUGGCAGAGGGGGGUAGAAUUCCACGUGUAGCAGUGAAAUGCGUAGAGAUGUGGAGGAAUACCGAUGGCGAAGGCAGCCCCCUGGGCCAAUACUGACGCUCAUGCACGAAAGCGUGGGGAGCAAACAGGAUUAGAUACCCUGGUAGUCCACGCCCUAAAACGAUGUCAACUAGUUGUUGGGGAUUCAUUUCCUUAGUAACGUAGCUAACGCGUGAAGUUGACCGCCUGGGGAGUACGGUCGCAAGAUUAAAACUCAAAUGGAAUUGACGGGGUCAUAGCUGUUUCCU
This 587-nucleotide ribosomal RNA is filed under the name uncultured bacterium. Its description in RNAcentral is "partial 16S ribosomal RNA". It matches the Rfam family "Bacterial small subunit ribosomal RNA", at positions 355 to 1375 of the family's 1533-position model. The record is from RNAcentral.